UACUUUGAAAGCUAAUAUUCGCAAUACAGAGAAAAUUUACGACAAAUUUCUAAUUAUUAAAGGGUGACACAAAAUUACAUUCACUUGAUUUAAAUUUCCCGCUCGUCUGUACAACCAAUUUAAAGGGACAGGCUUUACCGAAUAUCAAAGGCGCCGCCCGGAGUGUCGCCUCUUGUUGUACCUACUCUUUGCCUUUGUUCUCGAAGGGUCAUGGAUUUUGGGGUCCGAGGACCCCAGGGUGAGGUACGAUAAAUAGAAGAAAGCAGCUAUAUCGACAGUCCUAUCUGUUUUACCCGUUUAUCUUUUACCACAUACAUCACGCAACUACCUUAUCCACUGAAGCAGAAUAAAGGGUGAUAUACUUUAUUAAAACGAGAGAAACGUCGCAAUUCACGUAGCUAGUUGGUAUCCCUGUAGCUUUGCUUUUUACAUCGUGAUCAUAUACAAGGUAUACACGCUUCAAGUUAUUUUGACGUUACCAACGCCUGCGCGUUACUUCAGAUUAGGAAGUGCGAAGAACCAAUCAUAGCAGAAAUGCGUAUCGUGAACGAAAACUUGUCGUUCGACGUUACGUUUAUCUCGCCAACAUAUGUAUAAUAUAUGCAAUGUUGCCAAAUGAAACUUCGUAUAUACGGCAACAUCGCUUUUUAGGCUAAUACAGACCGAAAAUCUGGAUUAUUGAAGCUGAAAAGGAUUGUUCGCUGUUCAGUAAGCCAAGCCUAGGGCCCGAUCGAACUGUACAGUCACUCUGAUCAAAAAGUGCAACAUUUUAUUGUGGAUGUGGAAGCACUAUUUUGAUAUUAUAAUAUUAACAUAACUACUGUUCUAGAAUUUUUAACUACCGACAAUUUAGAACUACCGACAUUAAAUGCUCACUUAUCGAAGAAUGAAAACAGACAUUUCCAGAAAAUCGCGACAAUAAAAUUUUAUGAUAUAAAAUGAGAAAUCUGAAACCAGUCAUUUUGACUGGUUGGUAGUUUUAUUGGACGUAAGUUCGAGUUCCUCAUCCAAACUUUAGCUUUUUUUAAUGUUAAUUUUUUGUUCUAACCGUGCCGCAAUGAGUAAUAGUCAUAACUUGAACAUGUACGUAUAAAAUUCUAUGAUAAUUCAAUACAGUUUACUGAUGUGUCCCCUUUUGCCGCAGAACGUUAGAAAACGUCAACUUUUUUGAAAAGCAUAUGAGGUUGGCAACCUUUAACAGUAUCUCAUCAAUGGUAUAAUUCAAAUAAUACAGUCGAUAUCAAAGUAAUCUACUGUUACCCUUAAGUGUAUUAAACUGCUGCAGCAUGAAGUGUUUCAUAAUUUUAUACUAAAAUAAAGUAGAUGGCGCUCGUUCCCGAGUCAUAGAUUCAUGUUCCCUUUAGGACAAAGGCAUGCAUAGUCUUGUUAUAUCUGUAGUCACUGCGCAAACAUAAGAGAGUUGCCGCUUCGUCGCCAGGCGCUGCUCGCACGACCCGACUUCCGCGCUCCUGGCUGUCGUUCUAGGAAGCAGUCUCCAGGAUCUCUCUCUCGCUCCUGGGAUGGUUUCGACGGUAACGAUAUGACAACUCUCUCGGAUUGUCGCGCCCUCCCUACGACCGAUCGACGUCGGGCCCACUCUCGAUCGGGGACUCGUCGAGCUAAUAGUUGUGCGCGUUUUCUACGUCGCCCCAUCCUAGGACCGACAGGAGAUCGGCUUAUAAUUCGGACUUUGCUGUGAACUCUGCUUCAGUGGUAAAAUUCUCCAUCAUUACGGUACGACACGACGCCAUGCAAACACGAGCAGCAGAUGGGGAUUUGAUGGACCACCAAUUCGGAACUCGGAAUUCAACGUUCAAACACUGGAAAGGGGGUGAUGUGGUACUUGUCUAAUCUGAACGCCCCUUUAUGAAGGGUCGACGCAGCGCCAUCUAACAGUGAUACGUGGUACUACAACAGAAACUUCGCUGAUGGCAAAAGUAGUUUAAGCCAUGCUAUCGGACCGACGAGCUAGUCUUUACAGCAUUGAAGUGGAGGAAGGAUCUCUGCGUUCCAUUUAAUCAAAUUCCAAAAUUGAAUAUACACACAAUCUGCCACGGUCUUCGACAAAGUAUUAAGCCAAUAAAGAGUUACAUAAAUUAAAAAUUCUACAAAAUAUAUUUGCAAAUUGUAUGUAUUUAUGAAGUUACAAUAAAUAAACAAAAGAAAUCAUGUACUUAUUUACAAUCCUUUCCAUUACAUUCUUAAACAUAACAGACAAUCAACAGG
RNAcentral lists this long non-coding RNA (2226 nucleotides) under Megachile rotundata (alfalfa leafcutting bee). RNAcentral describes it as "uncharacterized LOC105664085, transcript variant X2". The record is from RNAcentral. Lineage: Eukaryota; Metazoa; Arthropoda; Insecta; Hymenoptera; Megachilidae.